UCUUCGGUGGCGUUCUGACUCGCGCUUUUACCUGUGCUCUGAUUUGUUUGGGUUCGAGGCUCGAGGCGAAUUUUUUGAGGGUCAAGGGAGAUGGCAAAAGGUUAUUGCAAGGUUCGAAGGACGAAAGCUCCACGUAAUAUAAUUGUGUUAUUAAAUUAUGAAUUUAUGUAUAUUGGACGAAGUGAGUUAUGUUUAUGGCAUCAGAAACAAUGGGUGUUGAAUAAUAUUAUUUUUUGUCAUUACCUAGUUGUUGAUGUGAAAUGAAAAAGAGAAUCAAGUGCUGACAAAUUAUGACAUCAUUCAAAAACUGGAAAAGUGUUCUAGACGGUUUAAUGUGCUACAGUUAAUUCAUUUUCGCGACAAAAUCUCUUUUGGAACGUAUCACUAGAGACCGGAUUUUUAGGAAGUUAAAAUAGUAUAUUAUUAUACAAGUUCUAUUGUGGCACGAAUGAUUUUGGAGCACGACGACGGAGUGCUCCAAUAGAAUGAGUACCACAAUUAAGUCUUAUAAAACGGGUGUAAUAUUCUAUUUUUUUCUACUUUCUAUUUUUUUGUUCUAUUUUUUAAAAUCUGUUCAAACUGUUUCCUCUUAAUUUUGUUAAUUAUUCGGGCUUUAUCAAUAAACGAUUUGACGCUGUUGACAGAUCAGUGAUCACUGAUCACACACUACAUUACAGUGUUGACUGAUGACAUCUAACCCAGCAGUGCCAAUACAACUCCUAAAAAUUUACUAAAAGGAGUUGCACAAAAGUUCUCUUUGCGAAAUAACUUUCGUUUUCAUAAUGAACAAUUUGUGAAACCAAAGUAGAAAAACCUUAUUUAGAUAUCAUAAAAGGUUGUACAAAAACAGGUUGUACUGUAGGAUACAUUUUUUAUUAAUUCCUACUACAAGAAAGAAAAAUAGUAUAUUUCCUAACGUGCGAAUGAUAUCAUGCGAGUGCAUUGAGACGAACGAGGCGCAGCCGAGUUCAGAUGAAGAUGCACAAACAUGAUAGUCACUUUAGACAUAAAUCGUAAAAACUAUUUUUUGGACGACUUGAACAAAAAUGUAAGAAUUUUAUGAAUAAAAACACUCUACGCCAUUUGGCCACGAAUUGCUAGUUCCACUGGCUGCUCAAAAACUGGCGCACCAACUCAGUGGUACGUUAUUGAGAAGCAAGUGCAAAUUACGGUAAAAAUGUUGAAAAAAUUCCUAAAGUUAUAUUUUAAAAAAUCUGGGGCUACAAACUUAUUGUGUUAACUUCUUUAGUUUUCAUUAUUUUUUUAUAUUUUUAUGUUUCAUACCAGGUAAUCGUUCCGUAACAAAACGAUGAAUAAUUAUUUUAAAAUUUACUAUCAGAUUUUAGCAGUUUUUUUAAUUUAAAAAAAUUAAAAUUCGUCCAAAAAAUUACAAUGUGUAGAUGUGCCAACACUGGGAAUUAUUUCCUAGGAAACCGCUUCAAAAAUAAUUUAUUUUUAUUGUUGCUCAAAUUUUAUUGCGGUCAUGACUGUUAUACAACGUUGCCACAUAUCAUUUACCUAAAAUUAGUUAUUUAUCAAUAACUUUAAUACAACGAAUUUUUUUACUAUUUUUACCAUUAUAUGUAACCACUUCUCUACCACACACCAUUGAGUUGGUGCGCCAGUUUUUGAGCACGCUGUAUAAUGGUUCUGUCAUUCUGUUCAAUGAAUUUUGCACAAAGGAAUUUCAAGUGAAUUUCUCAAGAACUGUAUAAAAAAAUGUGUAAAAAAUUAAAAAAAGUGUCUUUCUCACAGAACAGGAUUUGGUCUAAGAUGCGAAUAAAAUGAUUUUGCUUUGUUUUUUAAAUAAUUUGACUUUUUUGACGAAAGCACCCUUUUUAAAAAUUACACAAAAACAAAAAUUCUAGAAAAGUAGAACUUUUACAGAACUAAUUAAAAUAUACACUGCCGGUUUGGAAAAAUUAAUAAUUAUAAUUUUAAUAAUUAAAAUAAAUAAAUUUUUCAAAUAAAAAUUAACAACUGACGAACACUGCAAUUUUGACAAAUUAUUUCUUUAUUCAAAAAUCAAGGCUGAUACAAAUAUUUUAUAAGAUACAAAAAUUGUUUAAAAUUAAAAAUAAUUUAAUUUAGGAUUAUUAGCUGUUUCAAAAUUAUAAAAACGCCAGCGUUGCAUUUUUUCUCUAAAUUAGCUGUUACAAAUUAUUCAUGCAUUUCAAAAAAAUAAUUCGGUUAAUUGCGAGGACAGUGUUUUUAUAGUUUUGAAACAGCUAAUCGAGUUUGCAUAUUUUCAAAAUUUUAAGCUUCAAACACUGACUUUAAUGCUGAAAAACUAAAAACACAAAACUAAAAAAUUUUGAGACUGAAAUUCAGACGAACUAAGCGACUGAAAACUGAGAAACUCAAAAAACUAUUGAACUGGAAAAAAAACUAAUAAACUAAAACAUUAGAACGAAAAACCAAUUAUAAGAGACUGAAAAGCUAAAAAACUUAAAAAUAGUAAGAUCUGUACAUCUGAGUGACUGAAAAGAAUGAUAAUUAAAAAACUAUGAAACUGCUAAUUAAGAACAUUAAUAAGACAAGAUAGUAAAACCACGAAAAACUGAAAAAUUAAAAAAAUUAAUUAUAUGAAAUACUAUGGGGAAAUUAAGAAACUGAAAAGCUGAAAUACAUUGAACAUUAAAAAAGUAUCUUAAUUUAAAUUACAAGUAGGCAGGCUAAACACAACUGUAGGAUGUUUAAAACUUAUUUAAAACAAAUUUAUUUAGUGCCGGUUUAUAGAAAACGUUGUUAAAAUUUACUUCGUUGUUAAAAGUUAACAACGCGAAUGGACCAAUCAAAUUGGUUGAAUUUAAUCACGUGACCAGUUAAUCACGCAUUUAUUUGCAGAUUAAAUUAAUGACGCUUCUAUAAAUCAGUCCUUAGAGUUUUAAGAACAGCCCUUAAAGAUUGCGUGUUAGGAAAGUUUCCCAAAAUUUGGUCCCUACAUAUCACUGUGCACCUUAUUGUUGGCACAUGUGAAAGUAGUUUUUUAAGUGUUGUUGUAACGGUAAAUAAAUAAAGUUGCUCAAGUUUCUAAA
Molecule: long non-coding RNA, 3038 nt
Organism: Tribolium castaneum (red flour beetle)
Lineage: Eukaryota; Metazoa; Arthropoda; Insecta; Coleoptera; Tenebrionidae
Exons: 2
Source: RefSeq, a predicted model, not a curated record